UACGUAGGGUGCGAGCGUUAAUCGGAAUUACUGGGCGUAAAGCGUGCGCAGGCGGUUCGUUGUGUCGGUGGUGAAAUCCCCGGGCUUAACCUGGGAAUGGCCAUGGAAACUGGCGAACUGGAGUGCGGCAGAGGGGGGUGGAAUUCCGCGUGUAGCAGUGAAAUGCGCAGAUAUCAGGAGGGACACCAAUUGCGAAGGCAGCUCGCUGGGACGUUACUGACGCUGAGACGCGAAAGCGUGGGGAGCAAACAGG
Molecule: ribosomal RNA, 253 nt
Filed under: uncultured bacterium
Lineage: Bacteria
Description: partial 16S ribosomal RNA
Rfam family: Bacterial small subunit ribosomal RNA
Source: RNAcentral